ACCCCACUCCUGGUACCA
Molecule: non-coding RNA, 18 nt
Filed under: Danio rerio (zebrafish)
Lineage: Eukaryota; Metazoa; Chordata; Actinopteri; Cypriniformes; Danionidae
Also listed under: 3 other names
Source: RNAcentral